Molecule: non-coding RNA, 30 nt
Filed under: Mus musculus (house mouse)
Lineage: Eukaryota; Metazoa; Chordata; Mammalia; Rodentia; Muridae
Source: RNAcentral
UCAAAAAUGGAUAGGAUUUUUGUAAAAGCA